This is a small nuclear RNA of Oryctolagus cuniculus (rabbit), 111 nucleotides long. Its record names the gene U2. It matches the Rfam family "U2 spliceosomal RNA". Rfam says of the family: U2 is a small nuclear RNA (snRNA) component of the spliceosome (involved in pre-mRNA splicing). Complementary binding between U2 snRNA (in an area lying towards the 5' end but 3' to hairpin I) and the branchpoint sequence (BPS) of the intron results the bulging out of an unpaired adenosine, on the BPS, which initiates a nucleophilic attack at the intronic 5' splice site, thus starting the first of two transesterification reactions that mediate splicing. The record is from Ensembl. NCBI's taxonomy places the organism in Eukaryota, Metazoa, Chordata, Mammalia, Lagomorpha, Leporidae.
AUCGUCUCUUGGCCUUUUGGCUAAGAUCAUGUGUAGUAUCUGCUCUUAUCAGUUUAAAAAUGAAAUCAUUGAUUCACAAAGACAGAGAGAAUGGUGGGUAAGUGAUCUUUA